AGCAGCCGCGGUAAUUCCAGCUCCAAUAGCGUAUAUUAAAGUUGUUGCAGUUAAAAAGCUCGUAGUUGAAUUUCGGGAUCAAUAUGUCGGUCGUGCCUUGGUACGUACUGGUAUCAUUGGUCUCUCCUUUCUGACGAACCAUGAUGUCAUUAAUUUGGUGUUAUGGGAAGUUAGGACUGUUACUUUGAAAAAAUUAGAGUGUUUAAAGCAGGCUUUAGCUUGAAUACAUUAGCAUGGAAUAAUGAAAUAGGACGUUCGAACCUAUUUUGUUGGUUUCUAGGAUCAACGUAAUGAUUAAUAGGGAUAGUUGGGGGCAUUAGUAUUCAAUUGUCAGAGGUGAAAUUCUUGGAUUUAUUGAAGACUAACUACUGCGAAAGCAUUUGCCAAGGAUGUUUUCAUUAAUCAAGAACGAAAGUUAGGGGAUCGAAGACGAUCAGAUACCGUCGUAGUCUUAACCAUAAACUAUGCCGACUAGGGAUCGGAUGAUGUUAAUUUUUUAAUGACUCAUUCGGCGCCUUACG
RNAcentral lists this ribosomal RNA (521 nucleotides) under uncultured Glomeromycotina. RNAcentral describes it as "SSU rRNA". It matches the Rfam family "Eukaryotic small subunit ribosomal RNA", at positions 569 to 1092 of the family's 1831-position model. The record is from RNAcentral. Lineage: Eukaryota; Fungi; Glomeromycota.